AGAUAAGAUGAUGAUUUAUCGGAUUCUUAUUUUAGCGGCGGACGGGUGAGUAACGCGUGAGAAACCUGCCUUACAGAGGGGGAUAACACAUCGAAAGAUGUGCUAAUACCGCAUGAAAUCAUGAUACCGCAUGGUAAUAUGAUCAAAGGAGCAAUCCGCUGUAAGAUGGUCUCGCGUCUGAUUAGCUAGUUGGUGAGGUAAUAGCUCACCAAGGCGACGAUCAGUAGCCGACCUGAGAGGGUGAUCGGCCACAUUGGGACUGAGACACGGCCCAGACUCCUACGGGAGGCAGCAGUGGGACUCCUACGGGAGGCAGCAGUGGGACUCCUACGGGAGGCAGCAGUGGG
This 347-nucleotide small RNA is filed under the name uncultured bacterium. RNAcentral's name for it is "bacterial SSU rRNA". The stretch from base 1 to 299 matches the Rfam family "Bacterial small subunit ribosomal RNA", at positions 65 to 358 of the family's 1533-position model. The record is from RNAcentral.